Molecule: ribosomal RNA, 508 nt
Filed under: uncultured bacterium
Lineage: Bacteria
Description: partial 16S ribosomal RNA
Rfam family: Bacterial small subunit ribosomal RNA
Source: RNAcentral
GACGAACGCUGGCGGCGUGCCUAAUACAUGCAAGUCGAACGCUUCUUUCCUCCCGAGUGCUUGCACUCAAUUGGAAAGAGGAGUGGCGGACGGGUGAGUAACACGUGGGUAACCUACCCAUCAGAGGGGGAUGACACUUGGAAACAGGUGCUAAUACCGCAUAACAGUUUAUGCCGCAUGGCAUAAGAGUGAAAGGCGCUUUCGGGUGUCGCUGAUGGAUGGACCCGCGGUGCAUUAGCUAGUUGGUGAGGUAACGGCUCACUAAGGCCACGAUGCAUAGCCGACCUGAGAGGGUGAUCGGCCACACUGGGACUGAGACACGGCCCAGACUCCUACGGGAGGCAGCAGUAGGGAAUCUUCGGCAAUGGACGAAAGUCUGACCGAGCAACGCCGCGUGAGUGAAGAAGGUUUUCGGAUCGUAAAACUCUGUUGUUAGAGAAGAACAAGGACGUUAGUAACUGAACGUCCCCUGACGGUAUCUAACCAGAAAGCCACGGCUAACUACGUG